UGAUAGAUGAUGCAUAGGAGAGUUGACUGAGAGUGGUCAAAUAGCACCAUGAGCCUCCUGGACAUGGACAUAUCCAUGAGCGUGAAGCUACUGCCUAUCGACGACUCUAGGCGCAUGGUGUGACUGAAACAGGCUAUGUACCCCAAUUCUAUGGAAGCAUCGAAAAGCCUGAACCCAAACAAUGAUAGCCAUAGCGGAAUAUGUUUAUAAAUGACGUAGAGCUCCCAAGUGCGAUAUCCAUCGAAUGUAUUCCCGACAUGCGUCAAUUGCAUCCUGAAACAUCUACUAAAGAGCGUAUGGCUAAAUUUGUCGUGGCUAUCAAGAAAUUUCAUGGUCAACUCCUGGAGAAAG
This 351-nucleotide small RNA is filed under the name Histoplasma capsulatum. RNAcentral's name for it is "hypothetical RNA". Lineage: Eukaryota; Fungi; Ascomycota; Eurotiomycetes; Onygenales; Ajellomycetaceae. RNAcentral also lists the same sequence under 1 other name. The record is from RNAcentral.